GCAAGUCGAACGGAGUUUUAACGGAAGUUUCGGAUGGAAGUUUAGAACUAGUGGCGGACGGGUGAGUAACGCGUGGGUAACCUGCCUCAGUACAGGGGGAUAACAGUUAGAAAUGACUGCUAACACCGCAUAAUAUAGCGAAACCGCAUGAUUUUGCUAUCAAAUAUUUAUAGGUAUGAGAUGGGCCCGCGUCUGAUUAGCUAGCUGGUGGGGUAAAGGCCUACCAAGGCGACCGAUCAGUAGCCGGCUUGAGAGAGUGACCGGCCACAUUGGGACUGAGACACGGCCCAAACUCCUACGGGAGGCAGCAGUGGGGAAUAUUGGACAAUGGGGGAAACCCUGAUCCAGCCGACGCCGCGUGAGUGAAGAAGUUAUUUCGGUAUGUAAAAGCUCUAUCAGCAGGGAAGAUUAAUGACAGUACCUGACUAAGAAGCCCCGGCUAACUACGUGCCAGCCGCGGC
This 461-nucleotide ribosomal RNA is filed under the name uncultured bacterium. RNAcentral describes it as "bacterial SSU rRNA". It matches the Rfam family "Bacterial small subunit ribosomal RNA", at positions 57 to 518 of the family's 1533-position model. The record is from RNAcentral.